Molecule: ribosomal RNA, 423 nt
Filed under: uncultured bacterium
Lineage: Bacteria
Description: partial 16S ribosomal RNA
Rfam family: Bacterial small subunit ribosomal RNA
Source: RNAcentral
AAUAUUGGACAAUGGGGGCAACCCUGAUCCAGCCAUGCCGCGUGUGUGAAGAAGGUCUUCGGAUUGUAAAGCACUUUAAGUUGGGAGGAAGGGCUUUAGGCUAAUACCCUGAAGUUUUGACGUUACCUACAGAAUAAGCACCGGCUAACUCUGUGCCAGCAGCCGCGGUAAUACAGAGGGUUCAAGAGUUAAUCGGAAUUACUGGGCGUAAAGCUGUCGUAGGUUGUUUAGUAAAAUAGGUGUUAAAUCCCCGGGCUUAACCUGGGAACUGCUUUCAUAACUGCUGAGCUAGAGUACGGUAGAGGGUAGUGGAAUUUCCUGUGUAACGGUGAAAUGCGUAGAUAUAGGAAGGAACACCAGUGGCGAAGGCGACUACCUGGACUGAUACUGACACUGAGGUGCGAAAGCGUGGGGAGCAAACAG